This 1434-nucleotide ribosomal RNA is filed under the name uncultured bacterium. Its description in RNAcentral is "bacterial SSU rRNA". It matches the Rfam family "Bacterial small subunit ribosomal RNA". The record is from RNAcentral.
GACGAACGCUGGCGGCACGCUUAACACAUGCAAGUCGAACGAGAGAAGAGAAGCUUGCUUUUCUGAUCUAGUGGCGGACGGGUGAGUAACACGUGAGCAAUCUGCCUUUCAGAGGGGGAUACCGAUUGGAAACGAUCGUUAAUACCGCAUAAUAUAAUUGAACCGCAUGAUUUGAUUAUCAAAGAUUUAUCGCUGAAAGAUGAGCUCGCGUCUGAUUAGCUAGUUGGUAAGGUAACGGCUUACCAAGGCGACGAUCAGUAGCCGGACUGAGAGGUUGAUCGGCCACAUUGGGACUGAGACACGGCCCAGACUCCUACGGGAGGCAGCAGUGGGGAAUAUUGCACAAUGGAGGAAACUCUGAUGCAGCGAUGCCGCGUGAGGGAAGAAGGUUUUAGGAUUGUAAACCUCUGUCUUCAGGGACGAAAAAAGACGGUACCUGAGGAGGAAGCUCCGGCUAACUACGUGCCAGCAGCCGUGGUAAUACGUAGGGAGCGAGCGUUGUCCGGAAUUACUGGGUGUAAAGGGAGCGUAGGCGGGAUCGCAAGUCAGAUGUGAAAACUAUGGGCUUAACCCAUAAACUGCAUUUGAAACUGUGGUUCUUGAGUGAAGUAGAGGUAAGCGGAAUUCCUAGUGUAGCGGUGAAAUGCGUAGAUAUUAGGAGGAACAUCAGUGGCGAAGGCGGCUUACUGGGCUUUAACUGACGCUGAGGCUCGAAAGCGUGGGGAGCAAACAGGAUUAGAUACCCUGGUAGUCCACGCCGUAAACGAUGAUUACUAGGUGUGGGGGGACUGACCCCUUCCGUGCCGCAGCAAACGCAAUAAGUAAUCCACCUGGGGAGUACGACCGCAAGGUUGAAACUCAAAGGAAUUGACGGGGGCCCGCACAAGCAGUGGAGUAUGUGGAUUAAUUCGAAGCAACGCGAAGAACCUUACCAGGUCUUGACAUCGUAUGCAUAGCUCAGAGAUGAGUGAAAUCUCUUCGGAGACAUAUAGACAGGUGGUGCAUGGUUGUCGUCAGCUCGUGUCGUGAGAUGUUGGGUUAAGUCCCGCAACGAGCGCAACCCUUACUGUUAGUUGCUACGCAAGAGCACUCUAGCAGGACUGCCGUUGACAAAACGGAGGAAGGUGGGGAUGACGUCAAAUCAUCAUGCCCCUUAUGACCUGGGCCUCACACGUACUACAAUGGCUGUCAACAGAGGGAAGCAAAGCCGCGAGGUGGAGCGAACCCCUAAAAGCAGUCUUAGUUCGGAUUGUAGGCUGCAACCCCCCUACAUGAAGUCGGAAUUGCUAGUAAUCGCAGAUCAGCAUGCUGCGGUGAAUACGUUCCCGGGCCUUGUACACACCGCCCGUCACGCCAUGGGAGUCGGUAACACCCGAAGCCUGUAGUCUAACCGCAAGGAGGACGCAGUCGAAGGUGGGAUUGAUGACUGGGGUG